Gorilla gorilla gorilla (western lowland gorilla) is the source of this 299-nucleotide non-coding RNA. It matches the Rfam family "Metazoan signal recognition particle RNA". Rfam says of the family: The signal recognition particle (SRP) is a universally conserved ribonucleoprotein. It is involved in the co-translational targeting of proteins to membranes. Lineage: Eukaryota; Metazoa; Chordata; Mammalia; Primates; Hominidae. The record is from Rfam.
GCCUGGCACAGUGGCUCAAGCCUGUAAUCCCAGCACUUUGGGAGGCUGAGGCAGGUGGAUCACAAGGUCAGGAGUUCGACACCAGCCUGGCCAAGAUGGUGAAACUGCGUCUCUACUAAAAAUGCAAAAAUUAGCCAGGCGUGGUGGCGGGCACCUGUAAUCCCAGCNNNNNNNNNNGCUGGGAUUACAGGUGCCCGCCACCACGCCUGGCUAAUUUUUGCAUUUUUAGUAGAGACGCAGUUUCACCAUCUUGGCCAGGCUGGUGUCGAACUCCUGACCUUGUGAUCCACCUGCCUCAG